Long non-coding RNA from Ostrea edulis (European flat oyster), 274 nucleotides. RefSeq lists it as uncharacterized. The record is from RefSeq and is a predicted model, not a curated record. The transcript has 2 exons. NCBI's taxonomy places the organism in Eukaryota, Metazoa, Mollusca, Bivalvia, Ostreida, Ostreidae.
AUCUCAAUGUGUUUCCAUAGUAUGUGAAUCGUUCACCAAGUAUGCUUGUACAUUUAAAUCCCGUGCAGUUAGUUUGGGUGUAGCAAUUGCCGGGUGCGGACGUGUUUAUCCACAUUAAUAUUCAUGUAUUUUAUCUAGUAAUAGUCAUCAAGUUUUGAUACCUUGUGACCAGAGUCCACUACUUCUGAGAUACCUUCUUCAUUUGACUCCUUUUUGAAGAACAGUAAAGGAUGAACAUUUGUGUAUAACUUGAGUGUAUUAAAUUGGUAUAAAC